This 97-nucleotide ribosomal RNA is filed under the name Periophthalmus magnuspinnatus. Lineage: Eukaryota; Metazoa; Chordata; Actinopteri; Gobiiformes; Gobiidae. The record is from RNAcentral.
AACAGUGACUCUUUGAUCUCGUCUGAUCUCUGAAGCAGGACUGGGCCUGGUUAGUACUUUGAUGGGAGACUGCUGAGAAUAUCAGGUGCCACAGGUG